UACGGAGGGGGCUAGCGUUGCUCGGAAUUACUGGGCGUAAAGCGCACGUAGGCGGCCAUGAUAGUCAGAUGUGAAAGGCCUGGGCUUAACCCGGGAACUGCAUUUGAUACUGCGUGGCUAGAGUCCAAGAGAGGGUAGUGGAAUUCCCAGUGUAGAGGUGAAAUUCGUAAAUAUUGGGAAGAACACCAGUGGCGAAGGCGGCUACCUGGCUUGGUACUGACGCUCAGGUGCGAAAGCGUGGGGUGCAAACAGG
This 253-nucleotide unclassified non-coding RNA is filed under the name uncultured Rhodospirillales bacterium. Its description in RNAcentral is "contains 16S-23S intergenic spacer region". It matches the Rfam family "Bacterial small subunit ribosomal RNA", at positions 524 to 776 of the family's 1533-position model. The record is from RNAcentral. Lineage: Bacteria; Pseudomonadati; Pseudomonadota; Alphaproteobacteria; Rhodospirillales.